This 501-nucleotide ribosomal RNA is filed under the name uncultured bacterium. RNAcentral describes it as "bacterial SSU rRNA". It matches the Rfam family "Bacterial small subunit ribosomal RNA", at positions 438 to 929 of the family's 1533-position model. The record is from RNAcentral.
GCACGGGACGAAAACCGGGUUUUGAAAAUAUUGAGCUUGGGUGACGGUACCGAGCGAGGAAGCCACGGCUAACUACGUGCCAGCAGCCGCGGUAAUACGUAGGUGGCGAGCGUUGUCCGGAAUUAUUGGGCGUAAAGGGAGCGCAGGCGGACAUAUAAGUCCAUCUUAAAAGUGCGGGGCUCAACCCCGUGAGGGGAUGGAAACUGUAUGCCUUGAGUGCAGGAGAGGAAAGCGGAAUUCCCAGUGUAGCGGUGAAAUGCGUAGAUAUUGGGAGGAACACCAGUGGCGAAGGCGGCUUUCUGGACUGCAACUGACGCUGAGGCUCGAAAGCCAGGGGAGCGAACGGGAUUAGAUACCCCGGUAGUCCUGGCCGUAAACGAUGAAUGCUAGGUGUAGGAGGUAUCGACCCCUCCUGUGCCGGAGUUAACGCAAUAAGCAUUCCGCCUGGGGAGUACGGUCGCAAGACUGAAACUCAAAGGAAUUGACGGGGGCCCGCACAAG